Molecule: ribosomal RNA, 441 nt
Filed under: Ouroborus cataphractus
Lineage: Eukaryota; Metazoa; Chordata; Lepidosauria; Squamata; Cordylidae
Description: partial 12S small subunit ribosomal RNA
Rfam family: Bacterial small subunit ribosomal RNA
Source: RNAcentral
ACCAUCUAUCCGCCAGAGAACUACAAGCAAAAUACUUAAAACUCAAAGGACUUGGCGGCAUUCCACAUCAACCUAGAGGAGCCCGUCCAAUAAUCGAAAACACGCGCUCAACCCUACCAUUUUUGGCCACUCCAGCCUAUAUACCGCCGUCGUCAGCUAACCUUGUGAAAGAAAAGUAGUAAGCACAAUAACCCUCGCUAAAACGUCAGGUCAAGGUGUAGCUAAUAAAGUGGUUGCGAUAGGCUACAUUUUCUAACAUAGAAAAUAACGAACAUUACAAUGAAAUCUUGUAAUAGAAGGCGAAUUUAGUAGUAAAAUGAGUAAAUGAUCCUCAUUUUAACGCCGCUCCGGAAUGCGCACACACCGCCCGUCACCCUCCUCGAACAACUAGAUGAGGUAAGUCGUAACAUGGUAAGCGUACUGGAAAGUGCGCUUGGCUUU